This 775-nucleotide ribosomal RNA is filed under the name uncultured Arthrobacter sp. Its description in RNAcentral is "bacterial SSU rRNA". It matches the Rfam family "Bacterial small subunit ribosomal RNA", at positions 8 to 796 of the family's 1533-position model. Lineage: Bacteria; Bacillati; Actinomycetota; Actinomycetes; Micrococcales; Micrococcaceae. The record is from RNAcentral.
AGAGUUUGAUCCUGGCUCAGGAUGAACGCUGGCGGCGUGCUUAACACAUGCAAGUCGAACGAUGAUCCCAGCUUGCUGGGGGAUUAGUGGCGAACGGGUGAGUAACACGUGAGUAACCUGCCCUUAACUCUGGGAUAAGCCUGGGAAACUGGGUCUAAUACCGGAUAUGACUCCUCAUCGCAUGGUGGGGGGUGGAAAGCUUUAUUGUGGUUUUGGAUGGACUCGCGGCCUAUCAGCUUGUUGGUGAGGUAAUGGCUCACCAAGGCGACGACGGGUAGCCGGCCUGAGAGGGUGACCGGCCACACUGGGACUGAGACACGGCCCAGACUCCUACGGGAGGCAGCAGUGGGGAAUAUUGCACAAUGGGCGAAAGCCUGAUGCAGCGACGCCGCGUGAGGGAUGACGGCCUUCGGGUUGUAAACCUCUUUCAGUAGGGAAGAAGCGAAAGUGACGGUACCUGCAGAAGAAGCGCCGGCUAACUACGUGCCAGUAGCCGCGGUAAUACGUAGGGCGCAAGCGUUAUCCGGAAUUAUUGGGCGUAAAGAGCUCGUAGGCGGUUUGUCGCGUCUGCCGUGAAAGUCCGGGGCUCAACUCCGGAUCUGCGGUGGGUACGGGCAGACUAGAGUGAUGUAGGGGAGACUGGAAUUCCUGGUGUAGCGGUGAAAUGCGCAGAUAUCAGGAGGAACACCGAUGGCGAAGGCAGGUCUCUGGGCAUUAACUGACGCUGAGGAGCGAAAGCAUGGGGAGCGAACAGGAUUAGAUACCCCCGUAGUCC